UCCCGGCUCCUGCACGACCAACGUGGAGGUGAGGCCUCAACAUGCCAAGUGUACAGAGACCUAUCCAAAACGAGCCAGUUCUGGGAUGGACAACAGCAAUCAAGAAGGUGACUGUACUUCACAGAAGUGAUGGGGAGAGGCUGACAGACGAUACUGAUGGAAAAUUCAAGAGAAAGGCCACCUUCAGCGGGGCAGGAGAAGCCGGGUAAAUUAGCC
Molecule: long non-coding RNA, 216 nt
Organism: Gymnogyps californianus (California condor)
Lineage: Eukaryota; Metazoa; Chordata; Aves; Accipitriformes; Cathartidae
Exons: 3
Source: RefSeq, a predicted model, not a curated record